UUUGGUAGCAGUACUGUAGAUUUCCAGCUAACCUUUCUGACUGAUCCAAGUGGAGCAUGGGGACUGAGAUACCCUGGGCUGACUUGUAUCUGUACUGGUGUAUUAGCACUUGUCAGAAAUUUUAUAGCCCUGCUGAAGCUAUGCUGCUUUCAAGACAUGAACCUGUGUUUUGGUACUCUACAAGUAGAAUAUACCAGUGCAGUGGUGUUCUGGGUUUCUGCGUGCUCCUUGCAUGGGUUAAAUGUGAUCCCAGACACCCUUGACCUGAACUGGCUAAGAAAUUAAGCAAAAUUUUGUGGAUUGUUCACUUGGAUAUAUACUCUUACUAAAGUUACUAAUGUUAAUAUGUAAUCUAAAACCCACUUCAAGUUUUCUGUAAUUUGCUGCAUGGGACUUUCUUGCUGCUUAUAUACUAAAGCCCUUACUUUCUUAGCUAUAACGUGACUUUAUUUUGCAAAUUGAGUUCAAUAUACAUAAUUCUAGAAGGCACAGGAUGUUGUUGUAUGACAUCAAAACCCCCCAAACCAAGCAGGAUGCAGAGAGGUAUUUAAUUUUUCAGUAUAUUGUUUGAAGGCUUGUAUUAUAGUCAGUAUAUUCUUAUUUGGAGUACACAGUAUCCACUCAUCGGACUAGAAAUUGAGCUGAUGGCUCGAUAAGAGUGCUUUUUCCAGCUGGCACUGGCACAACUCUCCAGAAACAGGCCGUGUCAGUAUUGCUUCCUGAGAGCUACCCUUGGCCAGCUCUGCCUGCAAACAGUUAUUCACUGGAAAGGAUAGUUUUCUACGCAGAACUAUGAAUCUCUGCUUGAAAUGCAGAAUUAAUGUUUUUCAACAACUGAUCUUCAGUAUGUUUUUAAGGACAAAAUUUAUAGAACAAAAUGACCACAGGCAAUGAAUGGAAAAGCUAAAAAUGCGAAAUAGAUGAAAGGAUAUUAUGUCAAAUGGCCAGUGGCUUUUUUGUUGUUAACGGCUGAACAUUGAUAUGAAAGAGUGUUGGAGGAAGAAGUCGAGUUCACUGAGAGUGAUGACCGGGCUAUCCCGAGAAUACAUCUGGCAUAGCUGAGCUCAAGCUGAUGAAACAUAGUAAGAGAAAGACCUUUCAUUGAAAAAAAUAAAAUAAAAAUCCGGACAACAACUCCCCAGCAUGCGCGCGCACACACACACACACUUCAGUGAGUGAAGAAAAGUUUCCCCAGCCCAGAAGUAAUGGUAGCAUACACAUAGAAGGACAGAGGCUUGACUGACAAAAAAAAAUCUAGACUUUCUCUUUGCCUUAGCCCACAUUCUAAAGCUAAUCCUAAAAAAUCUGCAGAGUCCUGGAGACAUGGUCCUGAUGCAAAACUCCCAGGAAGGGUCCCUUUGCAGCCUGGUUAUUACCUUGGCAGCUGCUUCCCAGCCCCACUACACCUGGAGAUCAAAGCUUUUUCUCUUCUUCAUUAACAGUAACCACAGUGUUUGUGCUGAACCCUAAACAUCAGCAACAAUGAAAAUCAAGUAAUACCUCCAAGCUUUGUCCUGAUUAAAAACUUCUUCCAGGCCAGAUCUUUUUGCAUGGAACACUUGCCUUAGGAACACUUGCAGUCCUUUUUCAGCUCUACUGCAGUUGGAGCUCUGCCCAACCUUAACUCUAUUCCUUACCCUAUCUAUUUAUUUAUUUAUUUUUCUGGUGAUCCCUCUGAAUUCACUCAGAUAUUGCUGAGAUGCACAGCUUCUCCUGAGCUAGGUACUUUUGCUGCCCACACUUGGCUCUGCCUACUUUUUUCCAUCCCCAGUGCAGACAGGAGAUCUAGUCUUUUCUCUGUCAUAACCAUAAUGCUAAUUUUUGUUCUGAACCUGAAAGCAUGAGGAAUUAUCCUGAUGCAAAUUUUUUCAUAGGCCAUAUCAUUUUGCAGCUGCCCCUACUUAGUUCUGGUAGCCCCUUUCCAAUCCAGCUGCACCUCAAUCUCUUUCUUUUAUCUCUACCCUAAACUUAACUCUAACUUUUCUGGCGAUUCCCAAAUAGUGGCCAUGGCAUUGCACUAACUGAAGCUUCCUCUAGGCCCUUGUUGCUCACAUUUGGUUUUGGUAUUUAUUUCUAGGUGUAUUGCAGUUUUGUCUUGAAGCAAAUUUUUUUUUUUCCCAAGCCAUGUUAAAAAAUGGUUCUUAAAAUUUUAAGUCUUUCAUGUUUUUAGUUUGAUUUUUACAAUCUUAUCUUUUGAUUUUAGCAGAAUAAGCCUUAAAAAUGUCAUAGAGAUAUCUUUAUAGUUGAAGUUACCAGGGUAGUCCUUUUAAACAUUCAGCUAACUGUUAUCAUGCAAAUUCAAUUUUCAAAGCCUGUCUUUUAAUCACUGAUAAUUUUUAGAAGUGGUAGUGAAGAGCCUCAUUUUUUAAUUAAAAAGAGAGUGACUAUGGCAAGGAUAUAAUAAGGUAUGAUGGGGAUAAAGAUAUAUUUAAUGUUAAGUCAGCUGUAAUAUUGAAUAUCAGUGUUGUGGGGUACAAAUCUGAAAUUUUCAUCCUUUCAAUUGCAGCAAUAUUAUCGUCAUGACUUCUGAAUCUGGCACUAAAUUUAGCUAGUAUCAAAGUACUUUGCCUCCUGUUACUCCCUUGCCUGUGACAAAAAUCAAAGAAUCAUCAUUUCUUCAUCCAAGAUGAAAAGACUCCAAUUUUUACAGUUCUGUGUUUUCAUUAUAGAGUUGCUUCAUCUCUGCUGGCCUGUUAUUUUAACUUUGUUUCUAGAUUUUACCCAAAAUAUGAGUUCUGAUAUAAUGAUGGUUUCUUAGACUAGGUGUGCUGUAAUCUUAAACACUUUCCGAAGGGCUUGGGGGACUGGGUGGGUAGGAGGAGGUCAGAGUGGAUUAAUUUUUUUAAAAGGAACUAACCAAAAUACCAGUUGUAUGAUGCGGACUUUAACUCACUAUUAGGAAAUGUUUUUAUGUGGAAUUAAUUCAUUAGCAAUGAUUCUCACACAUGUGACACAGCUUUCAUUAUCCCUUAUGUGAUGUAUCGAAGUGGUGUUUUUUUUUU
Molecule: long non-coding RNA, 3002 nt
Organism: Cygnus olor (mute swan)
Lineage: Eukaryota; Metazoa; Chordata; Aves; Anseriformes; Anatidae
Exons: 5
Source: RefSeq, a predicted model, not a curated record